UCUUAUCUAAUUUAAAAUAAAAAUAUAUAACUUGUAAUUAUAACACACAGACACUACCUGUGAUAAGAC
This 69-nucleotide transfer RNA is filed under the name Caulophacus iocasicus. RNAcentral describes it as "tRNA-Thr". The record is from RNAcentral. Lineage: Eukaryota; Metazoa; Porifera; Hexactinellida; Lyssacinosida; Rossellidae.